UGUAUCACCAACGACAGGAUUCGAACCUGCGGGAAGAUCCCAGUGAAUUUGUCAUCCAUCGCUUUAACCACUCGGCCACAC
Cordylochernes scorpioides is the source of this 81-nucleotide non-coding RNA. NCBI's taxonomy places the organism in Eukaryota, Metazoa, Arthropoda, Arachnida, Pseudoscorpiones, Chernetidae. The record is from the annotation of a GenBank genome assembly.